UACAGAGGUCUCAAGCGUUGUUCGGAUUCAUUGGGCGUAAAGGGUGCGUAGGCGGCGCGGUAAGUCGGGUGUGAAAUCUCCGGGCUUAACUCGGAACGGCCAAGUGAAACUGUCAAGCUAGAGUGCAGAAGGGGCAAUCGGAAUUCUUGGUGUAGCGGUGAAAUGCGUAGAUAUCAAGAGGAACACCUGAGGUGAAGACGGGUUGCUGGGCUGACACUGACGCUGAGGCGCGAAAGCCAGGGGAGCAAACGGG
RNAcentral lists this ribosomal RNA (253 nucleotides) under uncultured bacterium. RNAcentral's name for it is "partial 16S ribosomal RNA". It matches the Rfam family "Bacterial small subunit ribosomal RNA", at positions 524 to 776 of the family's 1533-position model. The record is from RNAcentral.